UACUUAUCAAGAAAGGCGGAGGGAAUGGCCCUGUGAAGCCUUAGCAACCAUCUAAUUUUAGAAAUGGUGCUAAUUCCAUCUCAGAUGAAUCUGGGGUAGUUAAGUC
Molecule: non-coding RNA, 106 nt
Filed under: Pedobacter ginsenosidimutans
Lineage: Bacteria; Pseudomonadati; Bacteroidota; Sphingobacteriia; Sphingobacteriales; Sphingobacteriaceae
Description: SAM-I sequence
Rfam family: SAM riboswitch aptamer (S box leader)
About the family: The SAM riboswitch is found upstream of a number of genes which code for proteins involved in methionine or cysteine biosynthesis in Gram-positive bacteria. The SAM riboswitch acts at the level of transcription termination control.
Source: RNAcentral